Molecule: long non-coding RNA, 1812 nt
Organism: Haliotis rubra (blacklip abalone)
Lineage: Eukaryota; Metazoa; Mollusca; Gastropoda; Lepetellida; Haliotidae
Exons: 3
Source: RefSeq, a predicted model, not a curated record
GGUGUGUGUGGGUAGGACACCUAAUGCCCCCCUAGGGAAGGUGGGUGUAGGUGGUAUCCAAUCAGGGUGUGUGGGUAGGACACCUAAUGCCCCCCUAGGGAAGGUGGGUGUAGGUGGUAUCCAAUCAGGUGUGUGGGAAGAAGAUGGUGAGAGACACAUAGCAUUACACAUUGUACCUCCAGUUAAUCUACCUCAGUCGUCCUAUACAGCCUUCAUCCCACCACUCCAGGAGCAUCAGCAGCAACAGCAGCAACAACACCCGUUGUACAACAAUGUGGACAGUAACCUUUUUUAAAUCUAACUCCAGUCCCACAUUGUCACACACUUGUGUUCUACUUUGUAUCAGUUAUUGUGCAACUUUGUUGAUUCGCAGACAACUGUGUACAAUGUGUUAAAUAUGAUCAUAUGGCAACUAGGAUUCUAAGGAUGCACACUUUCAAUUUUAACAGUGUAUAACAAUGUUUAACCCAAAGCAGCUCUCAGUUGUUAGUUUACCAGGACACAGACACAGCGUUGUACACUCUGUUAGCCACAGAUCUGGUUGUACUGAGUUUGUGCAUGUUUCUAAUAUUCAGUUUCAAAGGCUGAUCUUUGACCUAAGUAAACCUCAUUUGACUUUUAUGGUGACCUUUAACUUUUGGUGACCUUGAGCUGUUCUAUACGUGUGCUUUUUACGCUGUAUCCAUGUGGUUCACAGACAUAGGAUGUAUCUCACAACAAUGACAGUUUGAAUGUGUUGAAUCAUUUAAUUAGUCUGUCCUUGUUAGUAUGGUUGUGUUAUACCAGUGUGGUAAGUCUGUGUCGUUACCAUAGUUACCAUGUUACAGAGUUGUAGUUACCAUGGGUUCCUUUUGUAGCCAGCUGUGUGCACUGUUAGAUAAUCAAGGGGGAUAAUCAAGGGGGAUAAUCCUGGGUGUAGAUGCUUUGUAACUCUCGGCCGUAUCUGCUCCAGUCACGAUCCGCUUUGGUCGCUACAGUGGUAUCAAUGCUUUCUGGUCUCCCCAGGUCAGGUCGACCUGUGGCGUUAUGAGAGAUAGCCUGUAGAGGUUGACCUGUGGUGCUUGAAGAAAUGGCCUGCAGAAGUCGACCUGUGGUGCUUGAAGAAAUUGCCUGCAGAGGUCGACCUGUGGUGCUUGAAGAAAUGGCCUGCAGAGGUCGACCUGUGGUGCUUGAAGAAAUGGCCUGCAGAGGUCGACCUGUGGUGCUAUGAGAGAUAGCAUGCAGAGGUCGAUCAGUGGUGCUUGAGGAAAUGGCCUGCAGAGGUCGACCUGUGGUGCUAUGAGAGAUAUCAUGCAGAGGUCAAACUUUGGUGCUCACAGAUAGAUUGAAAUGUUGACCUUGGUGCUGGCACACAUAAGGUGCAAAGGUCGACCUUGGGUGCUGAGAUACAUUAAAUGCAUAGGUCGACCUUGGGUGCUGACACACAUUUAAUGCAAAAGUUACCCAUUUCUGCUGACAUACAUUAAAUGCAGACUGUAAAUGCAUAGGUCGACCUCCUGUUCUGUCAGAGAUUGAAUGUUAAGAUCACUCCUGCUGCUGACAGUGAUGUCUGUUCAGAGUUCACAGAACCUGUGGUACAACCGUCGCACCAGUCCUUUUAUUCUCUGGGAAAACAGUUGCUGUAGAGCAGUUGAACAUUUUGACCAUUCCGCAAGAAGCGAUUGUAUGGAUAUUAAACUGGGGAGAUCAGUCAGUGCAGUGGAAGGCUUAAUCUAGAACAUAUAGUUAGAACAUGAUUAAGGAACGUUCAUAAUUUAUGGCUAGGGAGUGAUGAUGAUUUUAUGGAGGAGCAUGUAAAAUUUGAAUGACCCC